RNAcentral lists this ribosomal RNA (253 nucleotides) under uncultured bacterium. RNAcentral's name for it is "partial 16S ribosomal RNA". It matches the Rfam family "Bacterial small subunit ribosomal RNA", at positions 524 to 776 of the family's 1533-position model. The record is from RNAcentral.
UACGUAGGGGGCUAGCGUUGUCCGGAAUCAUUGGGCGUAAAGCGCGUGUAGGCGGUCCGGUAAGUCCGCUGUGAAAGUCGAGGGCUCAACCCUCGAAAGCCGGUGGAUACUGUCGGGCUUGAGUACGGGAGAGGCGAGUGGAAUUCCUGGUGUAGCGGUGAAAUGCGUAGAUAUCAGGAGGAAUACCGAUGGCGAAGGCAGGUCUCUGGGCUGACACUGACGCUCAUGCACGAAAGCGUGGGGAGCAAACAGG